GGGGAAUUGUUCGCAAUGGGCGCAAGCCUGACGACGCAACGCCGCGUGGAGGAUGAAGAUCUUCGGGUCGUAAACUCCAGUCGAGCGGGACGAACACUUUUCGGGUGAACAGCCCGGGGAGCUGGCGGUACCGCUACAGGAAGCCCCGGCUAACUCCGUGCCAGCAGCCGCGGUAAUACAGAGGGUGCGAGCGUUGUUCGGAAUUAUUGGGCGUAAAGAGCGCGUAGGCGGUUUGCUAAGUCUGGUGUGAAAGCCCUCGGCUUAACUGAGGAAGUGCAUUGGAUACUGGCAGGCUUGAGUGUGAGAGAGGAGAGUGGAAUUCCUGGUGUAGCGGUGAAAUGCGUAGAUAUCAGGAGGAACACCGGUGGCGAAGGCGGCUCUCUGGAUCAUAACUGACGCUGAGGCGCGAAAGCGUGGGUAGCAAA
Molecule: ribosomal RNA, 425 nt
Filed under: uncultured bacterium
Lineage: Bacteria
Description: bacterial SSU rRNA
Rfam family: Bacterial small subunit ribosomal RNA
Source: RNAcentral